Long non-coding RNA from Periophthalmus magnuspinnatus, 155 nucleotides. RefSeq lists it as uncharacterized. The transcript is spliced from 3 exons. NCBI's taxonomy places the organism in Eukaryota, Metazoa, Chordata, Actinopteri, Gobiiformes, Gobiidae. The record is from RefSeq and is a predicted model, not a curated record.
UGGUUCUCUUAAUUUUUUUCAUUGCUGGUGUUGCUGCUUGGAAAAUGACAAAAUCCUGCAAGAGCAUUUUCACAAAGUCUCACACUGCAGAGGCCCCACAGACUGUAACGGACCAAAAUGUGCUUUACAGUGAUAUUGUUUUCUCCCAGAAGCCC